GUAGAAAUCUUGAACCCUUUGGGCUGCAGUUAUAUCCUCGGUUGAAUUGGUGAAAGGUUGUAUAUUGUACAUAAAUAUGUUCAACCCUAUCAAACCAUGCUGCUUUGCCUUAUAUUUACUCUCAUACAGUGAGACUGCUGAACUAUGUGCCAACAACAUAUUAUGAGCCACCAGGUAGGGCUCUAAUACAGAGCCACGGUGGGAGCAUUCAACUCUGGAGCAUCUCCCUGGUGGAGUUGUACCGAAAUCAUAACCUCCCAAUGCAAACACAUUAGGCUCAUUUAUGGUUGUCCAAUAAGAAACCCUAUCUCCAAACUCCCUAAAG
Molecule: unclassified non-coding RNA, 325 nt
Filed under: Hevea brasiliensis (rubber tree)
Lineage: Eukaryota; Viridiplantae; Streptophyta; Magnoliopsida; Malpighiales; Euphorbiaceae
Source: RNAcentral